RNAcentral lists this long non-coding RNA (587 nucleotides) under Homo sapiens (human). Its description in RNAcentral is "HSALNT0360549". Lineage: Eukaryota; Metazoa; Chordata; Mammalia; Primates; Hominidae. The record is from RNAcentral.
CUUGCCACUGGUUCCUUGCAGCUGUGACUCCCCAGGGUAAGAGGCAAAGAGCCACCAGGUCCCAGCUGAGGAAGCCCUGUGGUCAGCUCAGACAGACAGCAGGAAUAUUUCCCAACACUUAGAAAGCAAACAACAGGCCAGGUGCAGUGGCUCACACCUGUAAUCUCAGCAUUUUGGGAGGCCGAAGUGGGCGGAUCACAUGAGGCCAGGAGCUCAAGACCAGCCUGGCCAACAUGGCGAAACCCCGUCUCUACUAAAAAUACAAAAAUUAUCCAGGUGUAGUGGUGCACGUCUGUAAUCCCAGCUACUCGGGAGGCUGAGGCACAAGAAUCAUUUGAACCUGGGAAGUGGAAGUUGCAGUGAGCCAAGAUCACGCCACUGCACUCCAGCCUGGGCAACAGAAGGAGACUCAAAAAAGAAAGGAGGAAGGGAGGGAGGGAGGAAGGGAGGAAGGGGAAGGAAGGAAAAGAAGGGAAGGAAGGGAAAGAAAGAAGGAAAGAAAAAGAAGGAGGGAAGGAAGGAAGGAAGGAGGGAGAGAGGGAGGGAGGGAAGGAAGGAAGGGAGGAAGGAAAAAAAAGAGAAAAGAG